UACGUAGGGUGCAAGCGUUGUUCGGAAUUACUGGGCGUAAAGCGUGCGCAGGCGGUUCGUUGUGUCGGUGGUGAAAGCCCCGGGCUUAACCUGGGAAUGGCCAUGGAAACUGGCGAACUGGAGUGUGGCAGAGGGGGAUGGAAUUCCGCGUGUAGCAGUGAAAUGCGUAGAGAUGCGGAGGAACACCGAUGGCGAAGGCAGCCCCCUGGGUCUAGCACU
Molecule: ribosomal RNA, 219 nt
Filed under: uncultured bacterium
Lineage: Bacteria
Description: partial 16S ribosomal RNA
Rfam family: Bacterial small subunit ribosomal RNA
Source: RNAcentral